UUUUAGUUAGUUCUAUGUUGUUAGUAUAUCAGUAGUAACUCUCAACGCCUUUCCUGAGCUGUAUAUAUACUUCUCGUAGGCACUGUAAUUGCAUCUUCACUAAUGGACAAGAAAGGAAGAGCCUUCUAAUAAGAACCUUAUCUGGAAUGGCUGCAUCAAUGUUACUCCUAUCAUUGGCCUUCACCGGAAAGACUUUGAAACCUUAUUUAGCCACUCUUACUGGCAUUGGCACUGUUCUUUAAGUGUUUUGCGUUCACACAAUAUUGUUUGUGCUGUCUUUUGCUCUUGCAGCUGGCCCUGUUCCAGCAGUGCUCCUUCCUCAAAUAUUUGCGUCCAGAAUAAGGGCCAAGGAGUUAUCACUAGGCAUGCACUGGAUAUGCAACUUCUUUAUCAACUUGUACUUCUUGAGUGUCUUUAACAAGUUUGAAAUCAACACCGUGUACAUGAGAUUUAAUUGCAUCCGUGUGCGCUCUCGCGGUAGCUGAAAUCGAGCGGGCUCUAAGCUCGCCCAGUAAAGUCGACACCCUUCAUGCUCGUGCUU
This is a long non-coding RNA of Lolium rigidum, 541 nucleotides long. RefSeq lists it as uncharacterized. The record is from RefSeq and is a predicted model, not a curated record. NCBI's taxonomy places the organism in Eukaryota, Viridiplantae, Streptophyta, Magnoliopsida, Poales, Poaceae. The transcript is spliced from 3 exons.